AGCGACAGGCUAACACAUGCAAGUCGAGGGGCAGCACGGGAGUAGCAAUACAACGUGGUGGCGACCGGCGCACGGGUGAGUAACGCGUAUGCAACCUACCUAUCAGAGGGGAAUAACCCGGCGAAAGUCGGACUAAUACCGCAUAAAACAGGGGCACCGCAUGGUGAUAUUUGUUAAAGAAAUUCGCUGAUAGAUGGGCAUGCGUUCCAUUAGGUAGUUGGUGAGGUAACGGCUCACCAAGCCGACGAUGGAUAGGGGAACUGAGAGGUUGGUCCCCCACACUGGUACUGAGACACGGACCAGACUCCUACGGGAGGCAGCAGUGAGGAAUAUUGGUCAAUGGGCGAGAGCCUGAACCAGCCAAGUCGCGUGAAGGAAGAAGGAUCUAUGGUUCGUAAACUUCUUUUGCAGGGGAAUAAAGUGCGGGACGUGUCCUGUUUUGUAUGUACCCUGAGAAUAAGGAUCGGCUAACUCCGUGCCAGCCGCCGC
This 489-nucleotide ribosomal RNA is filed under the name uncultured bacterium. RNAcentral describes it as "bacterial SSU rRNA". It matches the Rfam family "Bacterial small subunit ribosomal RNA", at positions 39 to 518 of the family's 1533-position model. The record is from RNAcentral.